UUUCCCGGUGACUGACUGUCUUGCAGUCGAGGAAGGAAGCGUAAAAAUGGAGGAAGGUGAAUGCAGUAAUAAUAAGGGUUUAUUGUCCAAGUCGUCAGAAAAGGUGUGUGUGUGUGUAAGAGCACGAAAGAAAGUGUGUGGCAGAGUAGAGAAACAGAGAUGGAGAUGGAGAGGGAAAAAGAUCAGCAUGCAGAGCUUAAAGUUUGUGACAUUUUUAUGUGUUCAUUUCUUCUCCCAUCCCCCCGCCUCCUAGUCUGGCUCCUUGAUGUUGUAGGCACGGUGCGUUGAUAAUGAAGGGGGCUAGGCUUCUUUACUAAUUGGUUCUCCUCUGUCUCUCACUCAAACACCCACAUGGUCACAGCCCACGAGUACUGCAUUUUGGCCCUUGGUUCCGCAACCAAGCAAUCACGUCCCACAUUUUAUCAACAAAUUCAAACACCGCUCUGAUUUAAAGAAAAUGGUUGAUUUGUCUUGUAUUUCAGUCAGACAUUCCAACCUGCCUCUUACACUUACACAUUACACUUAUGAAAAAAGAUCAAGUAAAAAUACAUGACCAAAAGUAUGUGGACACCUGCUCGUCGAACAUCUCAUUCCAAAAUCAUGAGUAUUAAUAUGGAGUUGGUCCCCUCUUUGCUGCUAUAACAGCCUCCACACGUCUGGGAAGGCUUUCCACUAGAUGUUGGAACAUUGCUGCAGGGACUUACUUCCAUUCAGCAACAAAAGCAUUAGUGAGGUCCCAGGCCUUCCCCAAACUGUUGCCACAAAGUUGGAAGCACAGAAUUGUCUAGAAUGUCAUUGUAUGCUGUAGCGUUAAGAUUUACCUUCACUGGAAAUAAGGGGCCUUACCAGAACCAUGAAAAACAGCCCCAGAUCAUGAAUUUCUCCUCCAUCAAACUUUACAGUUGGUACUAUGCAUUGGGGGCAGGUAGCGUUCUCCUGGCAUCCGCCAAACCCAGAUUCGUGCGUCAGACUGCCAGAUGGUAAAGCGUGAUUCAUCACUACAGAGAACGUGUUUCCACUGCUCCAGAGUCCAAUGGCGGCAAGAUUUACACCACUCCAGCCAACGCUUGCCAUUGAGCAUGGUGAUCUUAGGCUCGUGUGCGGCUGCUCGGCCAUAAAAACCCAUUUGAUGAAGCUCCCUACAAACAGUUCUUAUGCUGAAGUUGGAUGAGCCAUUCUUACUAAUCUACUGGAGAGCCAGUUCGGGUUUAAGUAUAACUUCUUAUAACUUUUGUAUGACUGAUGCUUUUAGUUCAAGCUUUAAUAGGGAUAGGGGGCAGUAUUCAAAAAUUCGGAUGAAUGACGUGCCCAAAGUAAACUGCCUGUUACUCAGUCCCAGAAGCUAGGAUUAUGCAUAUAAUUGGUAGUAUUGGAUAGAAAACACUCUGAAGUUUCUAAAACUGUUAAGAUAAUGUCUGUGAGUAUAACAGAACUGAUAUAGUAGGCGAAAACCCGAGGAGAAUCGUUCCAAUUUUUUAUUUUUUGAGGUCACCACCCAUUGGAAGGACUGUCUAUGGGAAAAUCAAAGGAACACCUCCCAGAUUGCAGUUCAUAGGGACUCCAUUAGAUGUCAACAGUCUUUAGAAAGAGUUUCAGGCUUGUUUUUUGAAAAAUGAGCUAGAAUUUGUAGUUUUUCUAAGUGGCUCUCAUUUUGGCUGUAGUAUUGUUGCGCGCACUCUGUAAUUUACAUUUUACAUUUACAUUUUAGUAAUUUAGCAGACGCUCUUAUCCAGAGCGACUUACAGUAGAGUGCAUACAUUUUAUUACAUUUUUUUUUUUUACAUUUCAUUACAUACUGAGACAAGGAUAUCCCUACCGGCCAGACCCUCCCUAACCCGGGCGACGCUAUGCCAAUUGUGCGUCGCCCCACGGACCUCCCGGUUGCGGCCGGCUGCAACAGAGCCUGGGCGCGAACCCAGCCCAGCCUGGGCGCGAACCCAGGGACUCCUAGACCACUGCCCCACCCGGGAGGCUAAUUUAUCUCUGGCUAGAGACCAUGUUGCGGAGCCUUCGGUGGGCAAGCGGGUCAUUUGAUUGAUGAAGAGAUGGCCGGCAAUCUAAUUGCUGUUGCAGAGGAGUUCCUACAAGAGGCAAAUGACAUCCAACAACGGCAACCUUACGAAGAUGGCAAGUUAUUACAUUUGUAUAUAUUUUUUUGCAAGGCAUGAGUGGCUAAGGCUGAGAUUGUAUCAUUUUACUUGUCCUGUGUUGUCUCCUGUGCCAAGUCAAUCAAUGAAAAAAACAUUUGGUUGGCCUAUAAUGCUGUUCCUAAAUUCUAUAUGGUGAUCUUAUAGUCUUUUAACCUAAUGAAUUUAGGAGUGUUUUUUGUAAUUAAUUAUCUAUUGUAUUUUUUAUUUCAGUAGCCUAUAUAGCGCCUUUGGAGGGAAGGUGGUAUCACAUCACCAAGGAGCAGCUUGAGUUCCUCAUAGAUUAUAAUUUGACCAUCAGACAAAUGGCAGAUGUUCUCAAUGUGUCGCACUCCGUGGUCAAGCGGCGCACGAGCUAAGUUAUCGUAAUUGAAUAAAGUAAUUGUAACACAAGAGGGAGAUCUCUACAUCCUCUCUAGAUUUGAUCACAUUCCUGAUUGAUGUAUCUUUUUGUGUUAUUUUUGUACUUAGUCAUUUUCAGCUUUUCAGGUUCUACUCACUGUUGUCAGACGCUCGGCUGGAUGAGGGGAUCAACGAGCUGAUAUCAAUAUGAACAGAAUGAGAGAAAGAUAAGAGAAAGAAAAGUAGGUGGAGGAUUGGAGGAUUGUUAUCCAUGGUGCUGUGGAUGGUUACAGCAAACUUGUUGUGUUUCUGAAGGCCUCUGACAACAACAGGACCGCCACAGUCAUGGAGUCAUUCGAAGCAGCCAUCACCAGCUACGAAGUACCAUCCUGGGUGAGAUGUGACCGGGUGGUGAAAACAACCGUAUCUAUGCCUUCAUGGAGCAGUUCAGUGGUGGUGAGAGGGGAAGUUCCCUCCGGGGAAGGAGCACUCACAACCAGAGGAAAUAGUGGCUGUGGGGGGACGUCUGGCAUGGAGUCUCCAACGUUUACCAUGACCUGUUCACCUUCUUGGAGACGGAGCAGGUCAUCGACAUCAACAAUGAGGUGCACCUGUGGGCACUGCACUUUGUGUUCCUGCCACGGGUGAACAGAGAUCUUGCUGUGUUUGCCAGUCAGUGGAACCACCAUGGGCUGAGGACUGAACAACGGCAGUCACUUCUGCAGUUGUUCCGUCUCGGGUUCCCUGGCAAUGCAGAGGGCCAAUCUGACAGCAGUAAGGGAUUUGUUCGCCCCAAAUUUAACCACCAUCAGCUCCUCCAACCACCACCUCAGCUCCAACCCCUGGCGCCGCAGCUCUUUAUUGGUCGGAAUGGGUGAUUGGGCCACAAAUCCAGUUCACCAUCAGCAACUCACAGAUGGAACUGUUGCAGACAAUAAUUCCAUUGGAAGGCCCCAGAGGCAGCCUGGGAGUUGACAAUCUACAGAGGGUUGUGGCAGUUAUAUCUUCAGCGCCACUCGUUCCUACUCCAACCUGACUUACUACACCCCUGAUACUCCCCUACUGGGAUGAGGGAUUGGACGCUAUAUCUUCAGCGCCACUCGUUCCUUUGAAUCAGUUCAUUUUUAUAAUACAUGUUUCCCCUCUUUCGCACACUGUAUGAUUUGGUCUCUAGAAAGGUUCGACAGACAUCUUCAACUCUAAACGGAUGGGGUCCAGAGUUUAGACACAGGUGGCCUUAACUUUUGUUAAGUACUUCCCCAUUCCAGUACGAUUCUGUUUGGUCAUGUUUGGAGAAAGUCAGGUAGUGUUAAGAUAUACGGCAUAUGGUUAUUGUAUUUUGCUCUGUGGCGCAUUAGCACAACAUUCCAUCUGCUGACACAAUAUUUGUCUUCCACUCAGUACAACACGACCCAGGAGAGGCCUACUGCAAGCACUGGAUUGGACCCUUCAGAGCGUGCCUGCUGUGGGAGGACAACAGAACAUCCCGAAUGGACAUUAUUAAAACAGAACUUACAUUUUUGUAAUGCCCAAUCGGGACUUGUUAAAAUAAAUAAUUGUGUGGAGAACGCUUGAUAGUUUAAAAAAAUAAACUAUGAAGAUAGGGAUUUGGUGGUUCGGCCCCCGUUACAUUUUAUAUCAUUGUGAUUAACAGCAACAUAUUACAGUUAGUAACAUAACAUUGUUGACACAUUGUGACAGCUCAAAUUAUGUGGUUGAAGAUGGACUAGUGCAGGGCUCUCAACCUUGUUCCUGGAGAGCUGCUGUCUUGUAGGUUCACUCCAACCCUAGUCUAGUGCACCUGAUUUUAAUAAUUAGCUGCUUAAUAAGUUAAUCAGGUUAGUUACAACUGAGGUUGGAAUAAAAACCUACAGGAGGGUAGCUCUCCAGGAACAGGGUUGGAGAGCCUUGGACUAAUGGAUCUAGUUCUUAGAUCAAUGCAUUUGAAAUUCGAUAAGUCACUACAAAGGUGCAGUUCCCAGAAGUGGAGCUGUUACUUAAUGCAGAGGAUGGGAAGCCUUAUUUCAUGUCGUUCUAAUUAAAUGAUAAUGGCUGAAGUUAAUUUGAUGUCCUACAUUAAGAACAAAUGAUCAGAUUUGAAUGAGUUGGCUGCAAUAUGGCAGCAGUACUUCAGUCAAUAUCAGCAAAGGAUACUGGUUAUUAGUGAAGUGUCGGUAAAGUGUUUCUGAAAAAACUAAACCUUAAAAACAAGCAAUAUGGAUUGUAUAAUUUAAUAUUAAUGAUCAUCAAGUGAACAAUAACGGCCAAUAUGGAAAUAAAGUGUAUUUGGAAAGUAUUCAGACCCUUUGACUUUUUCCACAUUUUGUUACAUUAGAGUUUUAUUCUAAAGUGUAUUAAAUAAAUACAAAUGUAGCGUAAUACCCAAGAAUGGUGUAAUCUAUAUCUAUGGUGUAAUCUCUGCCAAAGGUGCUUCAGCAAAGUACUGAGUAAAGGGUCAUAAAUGUAAUAUUUCCUUUUUUUAUACAUUUGCAAAAAUGUCAACCUGUUUUUGCUUUGUCAUUAUGGAGUAUUGAUGAGGGGGGAAAAAAAUAUUGUAUCCAUUUUUGAAUAAGGCUGUAACGUAAUAAAAUGUGGAAAAAGGGGUCUGAAUACGUUCCGAAUGCAAUGUACAAACAAUAGAGAUGUAAGUAGAUAAAUGCUUAAAUGUUGAUGUGCAGUUACAUUUUCAAACACUCAAUUGCUACUGUAAUUUAGUGCUACUAGAUACAAUUAUGUAUCGUAAAAAUGUGUUUUUAUGCAACACCGAAAUGUGGGGAAUUCACAAUACCCGGAGGUCAUGAAUUCCCUAAAGACAUUGUGGGUGCUAUGAAGUGGGAGCCUUAGUGUCACAGCACACGUGUUUGCCUCUGGGUACUUUUUCUUCUGCUGCCCAGCGAGACGCCCUCGCGCUGUGUGGAGGAAUUCGAUGGUCGGGGUGUCCUCAAACCCAAGGGGUGGCACCACCGUUGCCAGAAAACUCCAACACCAUCGCCACUGUUAGAGGAGGACAUUCUCCAUCUGAGUACACGGUAAAACAUUUAAAUCACAAAAUGGAAUAAUAUACAGUUACCGAUAAACUGGAACAAUUUACUAUUUUACCUUGCACCUCAGCCAGCCAGUUGAACCAGUGGCAGAUGGUGUUGUUCUCCAAACACCGCCGGUUGCCGCCAGGUAUGGAAUAGGUUACUUUAAACAGGUCCCUGGCAGUGGGAGGCUUGAUGGAGUCCACAAAAAGUGCUCGGAAGCUGUCCGGAUGGUUCCCCAAUGCCUCGAGCAGCCCAAGAGAGUUGAGACCAUAUUUCAACCUGUUAUGGUUUAGAGACAGUAUGUAUAUUAAAAAUAAGUGUUAAGGACAAUAUAGUGAGGUGUAUUGAUUUAGGGGGGUGGACUGAUUAAAAAGGUAAUGACAAGUACUUCACAGAUUUACGACAGAGUUGACUUACUGCUCCAAGGCCACCUGCAUACAAAUUGUUGAGCCACCAAUUCAACCACACCAUCUCUGUCCUCCAUUGUGUUGACAACAAUCCUUUUUUGUAGAGGAACGAGCCUCCUCCUCCUCCUGUCUUAAAGGCCUCUACAUUUAGAUUCAUCUGGGGGAAUGUUUUCCCCAAAACCUUCAAGAAGCUGCUCUCCUCCUGACCACAGGGCACUUUGAUCUGCCACACAGGAUACUCUAAAGAUACUGAGAUAUGGAACCAUUAUUUAAAUCUAAUAAAAAGUAUCCUAAUAUAAAACAGGGAAAUAGUCCAUGAUCUUUAAAAAUCAGUAAAAUAACCUUCAAUAAGUCUAUGUUUAAUCACAAGAUAGAUUCACACCUAGCUUACUUACAAAGCAAGCACUGCAUCGCACUGUGUCCUCAUGUACUACAUUGAUAUAGGGAAAAUGUACCUAUCCUGUUCAGCUACCGGAUGGUAGGGUCAGCGAUCAGACAACCCUCAUAGUUAUCAACCUGCUACUCCCGAUUUGCCGCCUUUGGACUCCAGCAUUAUUCAGUCUCCCGAACGAUUGAAAUCUGACAUGUGCAAACGUUAUAAAAGUUACAAUAAUGACACUCAGCAUAAUCGCCGCCGCCCAUACUCGCGCACCCCACGGUAGCUGUUGCAACCAUUAGCUAGCUAACGUUACUAGGCCUGUUAAUAUUGACUUUUGCCAGAAAUGACCUAACCUACCAGAAUGAAUCCUACCUUUGAACCACCCGAUCCUGGGGUGGUUGUAAAGGUGGUUGCACUUGGCUGGCAAAACUUAAAAAGCGGUCUCAUGUUUUCAAGGUUCGACAUGACUUAGUCAUUUGUUGGUGAUGAUGAAUGUUCAAAUACCUCAAAUAUUUUUUUUUUUUAAUGGCCCAAA
Salvelinus fontinalis (brook trout) is the source of this 6836-nucleotide long non-coding RNA. RefSeq lists it as uncharacterized. NCBI's taxonomy places the organism in Eukaryota, Metazoa, Chordata, Actinopteri, Salmoniformes, Salmonidae. The record is from RefSeq and is a predicted model, not a curated record. The transcript is spliced from 2 exons.